GAUUUUAUAUCAGUAAGAGCCCUGAGAGAUGAUCAGGUAGAUAGGUUAGGAGUGUAAGUGUAGCGAUACAUGUAGCGGACUAAUACUAAUAGCUCGAGGACUUAUCCAAAA
Molecule: ribosomal RNA, 111 nt
Filed under: Salmonella enterica subsp. enterica serovar Typhimurium str. STm4
Lineage: Bacteria; Pseudomonadati; Pseudomonadota; Gammaproteobacteria; Enterobacterales; Enterobacteriaceae
Description: partial 23S ribosomal RNA
Rfam family: Bacterial large subunit ribosomal RNA
Source: RNAcentral